Molecule: ribosomal RNA, 409 nt
Filed under: Brucella melitensis
Lineage: Bacteria; Pseudomonadati; Pseudomonadota; Alphaproteobacteria; Hyphomicrobiales; Brucellaceae
Also listed under: 1 other name
Description: partial 16S ribosomal RNA
Rfam family: Bacterial small subunit ribosomal RNA
Source: RNAcentral
UGGGGAAUAUUGCACAAUGGGCGAAAGCCUGAUGCAGCGACACCGCGUGAGGGAUGACGGCCUUCGGGUUGUAAACCUCUUUCAGCAGGGACGAAGCGCAAGUGACGGUACCUGCAGAAGAAGCACCGGCUAACUACGUGCCAGCAGCCGCGGUAAUACGUAGGGUGCAAGCGUUGUCCGGAAUUACUGGGCGUAAAGAGUUCGUAGGCGGUUUGUCGCGUCGUUUGUGAAAACCAGCAGCUCAACUGCUGGCUUGCAGGCGAUACGGGCAGACUUGAGUACUGCAGGGGAGACUGGAAUUCCUGGUGUAGCGGUGAAAUGCGCAGAUAUCAGGAGGAACACCGGUGGCGAAGGCGGGUCUCUGGGCAGUAACUGACGCUGAGGAACGAAAGCGUGGGUAGCGAACAGG